This 103-nucleotide non-coding RNA is filed under the name unclassified sequences. RNAcentral describes it as "wcaG RNA". It matches the Rfam family "wcaG RNA". The record is from RNAcentral.
UUAGGUUUCUUGCCAUUCCUUUAAAAGGCAAGUGGUGCGGAUGGAGGUUACUCCCGCCGAGUUUCCAAUUUUCUCGUAAUCAAAAUUGGUGGCGAGCCUGAGU